CGGAGGAUCCAAGCGUUAUCCGGAUUUAUUGGGUUUAAAGGGUGCGUAGGCGGCCUAUUAAGUCAGGGGUGAAAACUUGCAGCUCAACUGUAAGCGUGCCUUUGAUACUGAUGGGCUUGAAUGGACAUGAGGUAGGCGGAAUGUGACAAGUAGCGGUGAAAUGCAUAGAUAUGUCACAGAACACCGAUUGCGAAGGCAGCUUACUAAUGUUUUAUUGACGCUGAGGCACGAAAGCGUGGGGAUCAAACAGGAUUAGAUACCCUGGUAGUCCACGCCGUAAACGAUGAAUACUCGAUGUUAGCGAUAAACAGUUAGCGUCCAAGCGAAAGCGUUAAGUAUUCCACCUGGGGAGUACGCCCGCAAGGGUG
This 368-nucleotide ribosomal RNA is filed under the name uncultured organism. RNAcentral describes it as "bacterial SSU rRNA". It matches the Rfam family "Bacterial small subunit ribosomal RNA", at positions 526 to 896 of the family's 1533-position model. The record is from RNAcentral.